AUUGAACGCUGGCGGAAUGCUUUACACAUGCAAGUCGAACGGCAGCACGGACUUCGGUCUGGUGGCGAGUGGCGAACGGGUGAGUAAUACAUCGGAACGUGCCCAGUCGUGGGGGAUAACGUAGCGAAAGCUACGCUAAUACCGCAUACGAUCUAAGGAUGAAAGCGGGGGAUCGCAAGACCUCGCGCGAUUGGAGCGGCCGAUGGCAGAUUAGGUAGUUGGUGGGGUAAAGGCUCACCAAGCCGACGAUCUGUAGCUGGUCUGAGAGGACGACCAGCGACACUGGGACUGAGACACGGCCCAGACUCCUACGGGAGGCAGCAGGGGGGAAUUUUGGACAAUGGGCGCAAGCCUGAUCCAGCCAUUCCGCGUGAAGGAUGAAGGCCCUCGGGUUGUAAACUGCUUUUGUACGGAACGAAAAGGCUCUGGUUAAUACCCGGGGCUCAUGACGGUACCGUAAGAAUAAGCACCGGCUAACUACGUGCCAGCAGCCGCCGUAA
RNAcentral lists this ribosomal RNA (500 nucleotides) under uncultured bacterium. RNAcentral describes it as "partial 16S ribosomal RNA". It matches the Rfam family "Bacterial small subunit ribosomal RNA", at positions 30 to 523 of the family's 1533-position model. The record is from RNAcentral.